AUCUAGCUGACGAGUCUCAACUAGGACGAAACAAUUAUCAUAGAU
This 45-nucleotide non-coding RNA is filed under the name Schistosoma mattheei. Lineage: Eukaryota; Metazoa; Platyhelminthes; Trematoda; Strigeidida; Schistosomatidae. The record is from RNAcentral.